RNAcentral lists this ribosomal RNA (253 nucleotides) under uncultured bacterium. RNAcentral's name for it is "partial 16S ribosomal RNA". It matches the Rfam family "Bacterial small subunit ribosomal RNA", at positions 524 to 776 of the family's 1533-position model. The record is from RNAcentral.
UACGGAGGGUGCGAGCGUUGUCCGGAAUCAUUGGGCGUAAAGGGCGCGUAGGCGGCUUGUUGCGUCGACCGUGAAAACCCGGGGCUCAACUUCGGGCUUGCGGUCGAUACGGGCGGGCUAGAGUUCGGUAGGGGAGACUGGAAUUCCUGGUGUAGCGGUGAAAUGCGCAGAUAUCAGGAGGAACACCGGUGGCGAAGGCGGGUCUCUGGGCCGAUAUUGACGCUGAGGAGCGAAAGCGUGGGGAGCGAACAGG